This 324-nucleotide ribosomal RNA is filed under the name uncultured eukaryote. RNAcentral describes it as "partial 18S ribosomal RNA". It matches the Rfam family "Eukaryotic small subunit ribosomal RNA", at positions 1470 to 1796 of the family's 1831-position model. The record is from RNAcentral.
CCCUUAGAUGUCCUGGGCUGCACGCGCGCUACACUGAUGUGUCCAGUAAGCACCUAACCUCUUCCGAAAGGAACCGGUAACCUUUGCAAAGCACAUCGUGAUGGGGAUAGAUUAUUGCAAUUAUUAGUCUUGAACGAGGAAUUCCUAGUAAGCACAAGUCAUCAGCUUGUGUUGAUUACGUCCCUGCCCUUUGUACACACCGCCCGUCGCUCCUACCGAUUGAAUGUUCCGGUGAGCUCUUCGGACUGCGCGGUCUGCAGUUUCUGCGUUCCGUGCGGAAAGUUGCGCAAACCUUAACAUUUAGAGGAAGGAGAAGUCGUAACA